Molecule: unclassified non-coding RNA, 8219 nt
Filed under: Manduca sexta (tobacco hornworm)
Lineage: Eukaryota; Metazoa; Arthropoda; Insecta; Lepidoptera; Sphingidae
Description: uncharacterized LOC115453403, transcript variant X1
Source: RNAcentral
UCGACGCCGUGCUGCAGGACGUCGUCAUGUACGGGGUGGCUGGUCAGUUAUGUUUCACAUACAUACAUACAUAGCGGCUCGCUGGUGGUGCUGGUGGACGCGGCGCCGUGCGCGGGCGGCGUGCGCGCGUGCGUGCGGCGCGCCGACUCCGACGCGCAGAGACACUUCGACGCCGUGCUGCAGGACGUCGUCAUGUACGGGGUGGCUGGUCAGUUAUGUUUCACAUACAUACAUACAUAGCGGCUCGCUGGUGGUGCUGGUGGACGCGGCGCCGUGCGCGGGCGGCGUGCGCGCGUGCGUGCGGCGCGCCGACUCCGACGCGCAGAGACACUUCGACGCCGUGCUGCAGGACGUCGUCAUGUACGGAGUGGCUGCGACUCCGUUGAAAGAGCCGCCGCUGCAGGGCCAGACGGUGGUGGGCAAGUUCUCAGACGGACUGCACUACCGCGCGCUGUGCAGACGCACCAACAUCAAGCAGAACAAAUACCAGCUGGAGUACAUUGAGUAUGGCAACAUAGAAGUGUCCAAGUUGGAGAUGCUGUACCCUUGCCCGCAAGAGUACGACGUGGGCCAGGUGCCCACCGUGGUGUCCGUGGUGACGCUGGACGUCGGCGCCGAGCUCACGGCCGCCGCGCUGGAAUACCUCGAACAACUCAAGGAGCAGGAGAUGAUGCUGACUUUACCGGAUGGCGCCAAGACAGCGCCCAGCGGCAGCGCGGCCAUUUUGACAGUGAUCAAAACAAAUGAGAACAUGCAAAAGAAGCUUGUCGAAUUAUCCACGCCUGACUGGAAGAAAAUAGAAGAACGCGGAGGGGAUGUUGUCGAGACACAAUGCCUCAUGUACAGCGACAUGGAAUGCCUCCAACUACCCUCUACUGGCGGCAUGCUGCAGGUGUUGGACGUGAGCCUGCUGGCGGACGGCAGCGUGUCGGCGUGUCAGGAGGGACUUGCGCACGCGCAGUACGUGUUCACGCACCUCGCGAGCAUGAUGGCUGAAUACUGCAACAGCGAACUUGGUCGCCAACCGUACUUGCCGAAAGUCGAGGAGCUUUGCAUAGCGAAAUGUCCACCGAACUCGAAAUGGUACCGCGCCGUGUUCCUGGAGCAGUUGGACGGUCCCGGGGGCGGCAAGGCACGCAUCCUGUAUGUCGACACGGGGUACCUGGGCGUGGUACCCGUCGAGCUGCUCAGGAAGAUGCUGCCGGAGUUCGUGAAGGGACUGCCGGCCCUCGCGUGCCAUCUGGAGAUUAAAGAUUUCCCGUCACGUCCCACGCCAGACAUGCUGGCCAAAGCGCGGCAGCACAUGAGAGUCGACGAGCAAGGCCGCGGACAGCUGCGCGUCACCAAGUGCACCAAACUCGACGACGGAAUGUACUCCGUGGAGGCUAAGGAAUUGAUCCAGGCCAUGAUGGGAUGGGAGUAGAUUCGAGAAGCAUAUCGAUAAAAAAUCGAUAUCGCUAAAAAAUCCCUAUCGAUAAAAAAAUCGAUGAACUUCUUAGCCGUUAUAAUUGAGAGGACAAUGAGGACAACUUUUUGAUAUUUUUAAAUAUUUGCUAUUUUUUUAUAUAUUACAAACCUUUCCUUAACACUAACGAACACAUUAAAGAAAGAUUUAUCGAAUUCGGUGCAGUCGUUUGGAAGUUAUGCGCGUACAAACAUUACGGUUAAUUUUUAUUUAUAUAGAUUUGGAAUGUACGGUAAACGAUCUUCCUAUCUAGGUAGAAUAAAUACUUCUAUGUAAAUUAGGGAUGCAUUUUCUUGUUUGAUAAACAGCAGUAGGAACGAUAAGAUAGUAUAGUUAAACAAGUAAUAAAGAACCGCUUUCUGACGCCCUCUCGAUUACCACGGUAUUGAUGAUGUUUGAGAUCGGUUGUCGUAAUAUCGAUAUUUAAUAUCGAAUAAGUACUCAUAGCGAUUUUUGAUUAAGUCAUGCUUAUAUCGAUAUUUAAUGUCGAUUGAAUUGGAUUCAUUUGUAUUUUUAACAUUGGUUUAGCCGUACUAGUAUCGGUGAUUGAAAGCGAUAAUGGGCUAUAUCGAUAAAAUAUUCGGUGUUCGAAAUCGAUAAAAAAAUACUAUUGCUGACUGCGAAUUGACAAUUUCAAUAUUUUUUUUUUUUUAUAUAUUCGCAUCGGUUCGCAGAUAGUGAUUGGGGUCGUUUAUAGUAAUCGGCUGUACGUUAUAUUAGAAAUAUCGAUGUUCAAGAUCGAUAGAAAUGUAUAAGUAUUGUAGUUGUAUAUGGAGAAUAUCGAUAUGUUUUUUCUUGUGUGUAAUGAACGUUUAUUUCUUUCAUGUUACCUAUAGAUUUAAAUUUCAAAUGACAUCUUGACACAAUACUGAUAUGCUUUUUAUAAACAAACCGAUAGUCUCCACGUUAUAUCGACUUUUAACAUCGAUAUUUAUAAUAAUUAUCGUUCAAUCGGUAUCAGUGAAAGUUAUGUUACAAACAUUACAAUUAGGUUAUAAGUUUUGUAUUAAAACAUCGUUAAAUUAGACAUAUGGUCAAACUUAGUGUUUAAGUGAUCGAUCGACAAAUCGAUGGACUUUAAGCAUCGAUAACUGUAUCGAUAAGAUUUCACGGCUUGAUUUAUAAACCAUCUAUAAUAUUUUCUACUACUGUACAUUGCAAUCUGAUAGUAGAAUGAUAUAAAAAGAAAACCUAUAUAAAUAAUCUUAGAGGUUCUUCAGUAGAUAAGAAAACCUGCAUCAAUAGUUUAAACUAAAGUUUUUCAGUAGAUUACGUGUCUCACAUAUUGUAUAGAUACUAAAUAUAUCAUUUUGACAUUGCGUUACUAAAUGAACCCACAUACUCAAUUUGAAAAUAGCACAUUAAAGUUACUCGAACUGUAUGGAGAGGUUCCCUAUUUUGAAAAUAACAUUACAAUAAGUUAUUCGAACUGAAUAGAAGAGAGGUUCUCAUUUUUUUUUUUCUCAUAGACCCUUUCCAACUUUUGUUGGUUGCGGUGCACUUUUAAUUUUUACAGAGAAAAUGCAUUACAACUAUCGCUCAGACAUUGUGGGGUUUAUGUUGAAGUCACCUUACGACCCCAUUCAAUAUUAUCUGCCUUCAUAGGUGAAGUCAGCCAACAUUUUAGUACUUUACCAUCAAACCAGAUGAAUUUUCGUGGACCCCUUACGAAUUGUGGACUUCUACUUUUCGGUCUGUUGACUCUCGUUAAUUCUCCCGUGGUACCCUGAGGGUCCUGGACCACGGUAUCAGUGGUAUAGAAUAUCGAGAACACGAAUGUAAUAAUAAAGAUGCUCGACAUAUAGGUGCGGAUGUUAUAGAGGGUCUACUUCGAAAAACGAAAUCCGUAGUUUCGGAUGACGGAUCGCACGUUUUGUUACUACGAAGUGUUACGGAUCCGAUCUGUUCAUCGCAAUAUUUCAGACAUGGAGUAAUUUAUAGGGUUUCCCCAUCCUUUUUUAAAACCGUCUGCGAGGAUAAAGAUCUACUUCUUCUUCAGCCUUCAUCUACCCAAUGCUGAGUAAAGGCCUCUUCCAUAUUUCGCUAACUAGCGCGGUCUUGGGCUUUCCGCAUCCAGUCUUUCCCGGCCGUCCGAAUGAUGUCGUCGGUCCAUCUUCGCGGCUGCGUCCCCACGUUCUUGAGCCCAGUUCUUGGCCACCAUUCUAGCACCUUCCUCCCCCAUAGCCAUCUAAUGUGCGGCUUACCUGGCCUGCCCAUUUCCACUUCCUUCGAGCGAUGACUUCGGCUACGUCUCGAAGACUGGUUCUCUUGCGGAUCUCGGUAUUGUGUACCAUAUCCCGAAGAGAAAUACCCAACAUAGCUCUCUGGACUAUGGAGAGAGCUAUGCUGAUGCUUUUUCAAAAAAAAAAAAUACGUGGAGUUGAUCUUACAACUAUGGUAAGCUACAGAAUGGUGACAGAUCCGAAGUAAUUUGGUAGUAGAGUUAAAUCCGAAGUUCGUCGUUGCUUCGUUUCGGACCGACGUUUAGACAUUCGUUUUUAGAAGUAGACCGUCUGUAUUUGACGUCGGAACCGCGUCCCGGUAAGAUCAUUUGUGAUAGCUUCAGUAAACGCAGUUUUAUAAUAUAUAGCCGACUUAAUGUGAAUUAAUAUGAUUUGAUUCAACUAGUAGAGCCUAGGCUACGUUGGGAAGAUGGAAGUAGCCUUAAGGGAAAUUAGGCAAUCGCUUAGGGGUCCGGUAUAUGUCAGGGGCCUCUCGUCCUUAAGGAAAAGUGGCAAUUAAAGGAGAUGUCCAAAAGCGGUUUUUUAUUCGAUAAUUUUUUUUUUUUUUUUUUUAUUAUGGCCCGGCGUAGUGUCCCCACUGCGCCUGAUGGUAAGUGUAUUGGGGUCUUAAAGAAUGUCGACUGACGAGAGAUGAUUACCCCUCGGCAGUCGACACAAUUAUGCCGGCCUGGUAGAACCGGAUAUACACAGACUGAUCCUGAAGCUCGACUUAAGUGAGCCAUUGUGGCGGGUUUUGACAAAAUUAAUAAUCGACGAUGAUUAAAAUCGUCCAAGGAGAAUAAAAUUUCAGCGCAACGCUAUAUAUGUGUUGUUUUUGUCACAAUCGAUCCGGUUUAUAUCGAGAUGGUUUGAUUAUAAUUGAUAGUAAGCUAUUACCGAUAUUUUUAGAUAAUAUCGAAUAAAAUAUUUCGACUUCAAACUCACUUAUUACCUAGUUUUAAGACAUCCGCAUCGAAUUUCGAUAUGGUACCUAAAAUUGUUUGGAUAUGUCUAAAAGCUUUCUUAUUGAAAUAGGUUUUUACAAGAGCUUUUGAAUUGUCUAUGACAGUUUAAAAUUAAAGAAAAAUGUUUCUUUUAGGUUAUUUUCAGAAUAGCAUUCAAUUUCCCCAUUUUCAAGAUAUUAUUCCAUUUAUACAUUUUUAGUAUCGAUUGUAAUCAUUCGGAUCGUGAUAUCGAUUACAAGUUCCAUAUGCUUAUUUCGUUCCACCAAUUCGAUUGUACUAUUCCGGAAUUAAAUCAUUUCAUAUUGAUUCCCGAAUUAAAUCGAUGAACAAUCUAGUUCCGUUUUGUUACUUGGUUGAAACGGCUGGUUUCCAUUAUAAUCAUUCGGAUUCCGAUCGUGAUAUCCAAUGUCCAAAUGACACUGAUUAAGUAAAGUUUCAUUUCCUUCCCUGACUAUCCGUCAGUAUCGAUUGUACUUUCCACGUAUCGGAUCAUUAUCGAUACCUGAAUUAAAUCUUUUAAGAUUUCAAGUUCAAUUUGCUUGUUUAGUCCAAUCGGAUAGUAUCGAUUGGGCUUUUACGGACUCCUAAUCAUUCUAUAUUAGGUAUAUAUAUAGUAUCACGCCUAUAUUCCCUGAGGGUAGGCAGACUAUGGAUUGCCACGGUCGAUUAUGACACUUCUUACGCUUCCUACAUUUUUAUAAAUUUUUUCACGUUGCCUGGUUCAGAGUACUUUUGACUUGGCCUUUGCUAAGAAUGUCAGAUACGUUCGAAGGUUCGGUGAGGUCAAAAUUUUAUCCAUCAAGAUUUAUUAUAAAUUCUUAUGUCCGUGAUGUUUAUAAAGCUACGUAGCUUUAACUUACCACGGCAAAGGAUUCAAAUUAACUUUCCUUCUUUAAAACCUAAAUGGUUACUUUCAAAUUUAAAUUAUAUUCAUACAUUUCCCGUUUCUAGCGAUAGAGGUCGCUGGAUGCAUUUAUAAUUGGUUUGUAUAGAAAUCUUUAGAGCCUGUGUUUAGCGUCUUGUGGCAUUUCGGAACUUUUUACAUAAUUCCACGCCCCUAAGGUGUUUUUGGAAGUUCUGGCUUUAAUUGGCUAUUCAUAUAGAGUAGAAUAGCAAUCGUGUAUUGCAGAAUGAAGGUCAAAUACAGGUUGUAAUUAAAUAUUAAUAUGUGUGAAUACAUUAUAUCGUGCUAUAUAUUUCUCACGCACGUACUGUUAUGGCCAGUCACACUCGGUGACGUCACAGUUUGCUAUUUCUCUUAUUUGACAGCUACCCGUUACAGAGAACAAUUACUAAAGCCAUAGAAGACAUUCUCAGAUGGCUACUUAAUAUAUAUGUUGAUACUAUAUUACCUUAUGGCUUGGAUAAUGUGACAGAAAGAGAUGCAUGCUCAUUUCAUGCAUUUGAAAUUUACCUGUUUUUCCGUAACUUUAUUCCAGUAAUUUUACAGGGUCGAUUAACAAAAUAUCGACAAAAAAUAUUUCACAUGCAGAUCGUAACUUACAUUGCGGUUUAAUAUGAUUUUUUAAUAAAAACAUGUUUUACCAGAUUACUUAAAAUGGUGGGUUCGGAACAAUAACACACUUUAAAUGACAAAACAUUUUGAUCAACUUAAAGAGUUAAUCUAAAAAAUAACAUUAUUGAAGUCUCCCUGAGUCAGUAUCAGAUAAAAAUGAUGUAGGUUUCUGGUUUGGAUUGACUACUCAAAUCUUUCGAAAUAAAAUGUCUUAAACAAGUCUUGCGGGUGGUAGGAUAUAUUUUAUAUCCGCCCUGAUAGCGACCGUGCACAAGGUGUUCAAACCCGCCAUAGUGGCUCACGUGUGUCGCGUUGAUCAGCCUGUGUAUAGUCCAACAGGCAUAAUUGUGUCGACUGAGGGGUAAUCAUCUCUCGUCAGUCGACAUUCUAUUGGACCGCACUCCACUUACCAUCAGGUGGGUCACUUUGCCAUGUCAAUAUAAGAAACAUGUGAUUUUAAUUCAGUUUCCAAUUGCACAUUACAAUGCGAUGUAUCCAUACAUUUUUUUAGGUAUCGUCUUUCCUAGAAUCUGUUUUUUAUGUCAUCUGUUUUUUUUUUAUUCUUAAUACUUUCGUUUUAUCAAAUAAUAUAUAAAACGAAAGUAUAAAAUAAACAAAAAAACUGAUACGACAGUAUUUUUUGAUAUUUUGUAAAAACUAUUUCGUUAUAUACAUUAGUAUUAGAAAUACUCUAAAUCAGAGGUUUCCUAACUUUUUUUUCUCAUAGACCACUUUCAAAGUUUUGCUGGUUCCGAUGGACCUUUUUUUUGUUUCGCGGAAUACAUUACCACUAACACCCAGCUUUCACGGGGUGCGAUUGGACAGUUAUAUUUGGGGCCACCGUGCCUUACCAACCUGCCUAGGACCCCUAUCAAUAUUAUCUGCCUAUAUUGAUAGGUGAAGUCAAGCCGACAUUUUAGUUCUUUCUAUCAAAUCAGAAAAAAUUUCGUGGGCGCUUACGAAUUGUGAAGCCUCAGUUUCCCGAGACCCCUGGGGUCCUCCUGGGUCUCUUUGGGAAUCAAUGAUGUGGAGAAUGCCACCCGAUGUAGAAAAGGCUUAUGUUUUUUGUCACCAGGUUUUCACCUCUCAAGUACAAGAAAGUAUAAAAACAGUAAUAUCACUUCUGUUUUUCUAUUUUUUUUUAUUACACAGGGUCAUUUUGACAUUACAUUCAUAAUUGAAACGAUUUGCUAAAAACAUCCUUUAAUAAUAAAUAUUACCAAAAAUUCUUGUUUUAAUUAUUUUAUGAUUAUGUUGUUGCGACGAAUUCUCUUAGUAGUAGUAGUAGUAGUAGUGGCAUUAGGGCGCGUAAAAUUAAAAUCACUUUUUAUUAAUAUUUAUUUUCUGUAAAACUUACACUUUUUUAUUUUCUUUAUUACAUCUACGGAUAACUUAAUAUAAAGUGUUAUCUUCAAUAAGAUAAGUAUGUGGUUUCAUUUAGUAACGCAAUGUCAAAAUGACCCUGUAAUAAAUUUCAAUUGUUUUCCCUUUAUUUAUGACACACAGUGUGUUGUUUUUUAGUUAAUAGAAAUCGCAUUUAUAUUUCGAAAAUGCAUUUUUAUUAUCUUAACCGUUACCUUAUGGUGGUAAUUUUUUUUUGUAAUCUAGUUUUAAGUUUACCUUUAUUUUUGUGAUAUACAAGGAAGCGAGCUUGUUUACAUCACAAAAUUUGUGAAGUGCUUUAUUUUUGUUAAUAUUUCAUAUCUUCCAAGUUUUUUUUUCAAUAAGGGGACGUUCAAGUGUUACACAACGCAAUUUUUGGAGAUUUUUCACUCCCCCUAUUCUAUUAUUCUCUCUGAUUGCAAGUAGUCAAAAAAUGUCUAAAAUUGUAUUCUGUAAUUACUUGCUAAUAUAAUGUUAAUACUGUAAAAAGAGCGUUUAACAAAAGCUUUGUUCUGAUUGGCUUAUUUUCACAAUGGAUUAAUAGUAGAUAGGGAUCGUUUAUAAACUGCGAUUAGUCAAUAUAAGUGUGGGUAAGUUUGUAAAAGACACUACUCUAGUUUAUUAAGCGAAGGUGUAGUAAAAAAGUUGUAAUAAAAAAUUGAAUUCAA